RNAcentral lists this unclassified non-coding RNA (202 nucleotides) under Hevea brasiliensis (rubber tree). Lineage: Eukaryota; Viridiplantae; Streptophyta; Magnoliopsida; Malpighiales; Euphorbiaceae. The record is from RNAcentral.
GCCGCCACCAUGCUCAUGUACUUCCAGUCCGAUCCGGACACCUGGACCGGUCUGAUCUUCUCAGCCCCCCUCUUCGUCAUACCAGAAAACAUGAAACCGAGCAAGCUCCGCCUCUUCCUCUACGGCCUCCUCUUCGGCGUCGCCGACACUUGGGCCGCCAUGCCGGACAAUAAAAUGGUCGGAAAGGCGAUUAAAGAUCCGG